AACGAACGCUGGCGGCAUGCCUAACACAUGCAAGUCGAACGAGACCUUCGGGUCUGGUGGCGCACGGGUGCGUAACGCGUGGGAACCUGCCCUUAGAUUCGGAAUACCUCCCCGAAAGGGGUGCUAAUACCGGAUAAUUUCUUCGGACCAAAGAUUUAUCGUCUUUGGAUGGGCCCGCGUUGGAUUAGCUAGGUGGUAGGGUAAAAGCCUACCAAGGCUACGCUACAUAGCUGGUCUGAGAGGAUGAUCAGCCACACUGGGACUGAGACGCGGCCCAGAAUCCUACGGGAGGCAGCAGAGGGGAAUAUUGGACAAUGGGCGAAAGGCUGAUCCAGCAAUGCCGGGUGAGUGAUGAAGGCCUUAGGGUUGUAAAGCUCGUUUACCCGGGAUGAUAAUGACGGUACCGGGAGAAUAAGCUCCGGCUAACUCCGUG
This 433-nucleotide ribosomal RNA is filed under the name uncultured bacterium. RNAcentral describes it as "partial 16S ribosomal RNA". It matches the Rfam family "Bacterial small subunit ribosomal RNA", at positions 29 to 507 of the family's 1533-position model. The record is from RNAcentral.